GCUGUGAUGGCCGAGUGGUUAAGGCGUUGGACUCGAAAUCCAAUGGGGUUUCCCGGCGCAGGUUCAAAUCCUGCUCACAGCG
This 82-nucleotide transfer RNA is filed under the name Dasypus novemcinctus (nine-banded armadillo). Its description in RNAcentral is "tRNA-Ser (CGA) (tRNA-Ser-CGA-5-1)". It matches the Rfam family "tRNA". Rfam says of the family: Transfer RNA (tRNA) molecules are approximately 80 nucleotides in length. The record is from RNAcentral. Lineage: Eukaryota; Metazoa; Chordata; Mammalia; Cingulata; Dasypodidae.